RNAcentral lists this ribosomal RNA (165 nucleotides) under uncultured bacterium. RNAcentral's name for it is "partial 16S ribosomal RNA". It matches the Rfam family "Bacterial small subunit ribosomal RNA", at positions 355 to 511 of the family's 1533-position model. The record is from RNAcentral.
UAGGGAAUCUUCGGCAAUGGACGAAAGUCUGACCGAGCAACGCCGCGUGAGUGAAGAAGGUUUUCGGAUCGUAAAACUCUGUUGGUAGAGAAGAACGUUGGUGAGAGUGGAAAGCUCAUCAAGUGACGGUAACUACCCAGAAAGGGACGGCUAGCUACGUGCCAG